AUUGAACGCUGGCGGCAUGCCUAACACAUGCAAGUCGAACGGCAGCACAGCAGUAGCAAUACUGUGGGUGGCGAGUGGCGGACGGGUGAGGAAUACAUAGGAAUCUACCCUGUCGUGGGGGAUAACGUAGGGAAACUUACGCUGAUACCGCAUACGACCGAGAGGUGAAAGUGGGGGACCGCAAGGCCUCACGCGAUUGGAUGAGCCUAUGUCCGAUUAGCUAGUUGGCGGGGUAAGAGCCCACCAAGGCGACGAUCGGUAGCUGGUCUGAGAGGAUGAUCAGCCACACUGGAACUGAGACACGGUCCAGACUCCUACGGGAGGCAGCAGUGGGGAAUAUUGGACAAUGGGCGCAAGCCUGAUCCAGCAAUGCCGCGUGGGUGAAGAAGGCCUUCGGGUUGUAAAGCCCUUUUGUACGGGAAGAAAAGCUGUCGAUUAAUACUCGAUGGUCAUGACGGUACCGUAAGAAUAAGCACCGGCUAACUUCGUGCCAGCAGCCGCCGUAA
RNAcentral lists this ribosomal RNA (506 nucleotides) under uncultured bacterium. RNAcentral's name for it is "partial 16S ribosomal RNA". It matches the Rfam family "Bacterial small subunit ribosomal RNA", at positions 30 to 523 of the family's 1533-position model. The record is from RNAcentral.